This is a long non-coding RNA of Saccostrea echinata, 801 nucleotides long. RefSeq lists it as uncharacterized. The record is from RefSeq and is a predicted model, not a curated record. The transcript has 3 exons. Lineage: Eukaryota; Metazoa; Mollusca; Bivalvia; Ostreida; Ostreidae.
CGACCGUUUAAAUAUGGUGACACAGUCAAGAGUGUAUAUAGCUGGAUUAUACAACAAAUGGAUCCAGAAAUUCUUCCCCCGGUGUUCCAUUUAGAGUGCUCAUCCCCAACCAGUUGCCAGAACAAAGGAUGCCCCCAUAUAUAUGAAUUGGGCAACAGCUAUAAAGUUAAGGUAGAGGAGUUGCCGGAUGUCUUAUACCUUCGUGAAGGGUGUUUUGCUGUAAAUGAUACCUUUACUGGUCUUGGGGAUGUCCUGAUUUAGCCAGUCAGCAGCUUUCAGGAAUUUUGUGGCGGCCUUCUUUGCUUUACUUUUUGUAAUCAUUAGUUUUUUAGUAUUGUAACUGGAGUUUUUUUCGGGGGCGGUAAUGUGGCCACUCCAAUUACACUACAUUUAUAUAAUAUGAAAUACUGAAAUACUUUUUGUAUUUGUUAGUUUUUUUAGUAUUGUAACUGGAGUUUUAUCGGGGGUGGUAAUGUGGCCGCUCCAAUUACACUACAUUUAUAUAUAUGUAAUACUGAAAUACUUUUUGUAUUCGUGAGUUUUUUUAGUAUUGUAACUGGAUUUUUUUCGGGGGCGGUAAUGUGGCCACUCCAAUUACACUACAUUUAUAUAUAUGUAAAACAUUUAUAUAUAUGUAAUACUGAAAUACUUUUUGUAUUCGUUAGUUUUUUUAGUAUUGUAACUGGAGUUUUAUCGGGGGCGGUAAUGUGGCCACUCCAAUUACACUACAUUUAUAUAAUAUGAAAUACUGAAAUACUUUUUGUAUUCGUUAGUUUUUUUAGUAUUGUAACUGGAGUUUUA